Molecule: long non-coding RNA, 530 nt
Organism: Stomoxys calcitrans (stable fly)
Lineage: Eukaryota; Metazoa; Arthropoda; Insecta; Diptera; Muscidae
Exons: 3
Source: RefSeq, a predicted model, not a curated record
UCGAGACCUGUUUUAUUAUUUGGCAGACAGUUUGCUUUGUUAUGUAAAGGAUGCGGUUCGGAAGAACCGGAAAGAAAGAACGGAAAAAAUGUGGCUAGAUGUUAUAUAUUAACACAAAAAAAGUUAGUGACCCUUUGGUGAAAACUGUGGAUAUAUAAUCAAUUUGAGGAAAAUGAAUACAUCGUUGUAGCAGUCUGCUUUUGUUUUUUAAAGCUGAAUAAUAAUUUAUUUUUCACACAAAUUUACAGAUUGGACUGGAGAAUAAAUAUAUUUUUCCUAACUCCUUUUAUCAAAAAACAUCCAACUUGUUUUUAAUAUUUCUGGUGUACCGAAUGCAACUAAAAGCAGAAAGCGUAACUUCAGUUAAUAUUUUUGAAACCUCAACCUCAUGGCUUUUUGCAGCAGAUAAAUGUCUUUAGACAUUCUAGGCAGCAAAUAAAACUACAAGUAACCAUGGCUUUUUGCAGCAAGUGAAUUUCCGAAGAAGCAGAUAAGUAUCCAAACAAGAAACAAAUAUAUAGCCAAAUUGU